CUUCCGUAGGUGAACCUGCGGAAGGAUCAUUACCGAGUUGAUUCGGGCUCCGGCCCGAUCCUCCCACCCUUUGUGUACCUACCUCUGUUGCUUUGGCGGGCCGCGGCUCUCCCCGGCCGCCCCCCUCCCCGGGGGGUGGCCAGCGCCCGCCAGAGGACCAUCAAACUCCAGUCAGUAAACGAUGCAGUCUGAAAAACAUUUAAUAAACUAAAACUUUCAACAACGGAUCUCUUGGUUCUGGCAUCGAUGAAGAACGCAGCGAAAUGCGAUAAGUAAUGUGAAUUGCAGAAUUCAGUGAAUCAUCGAAUCUUUGAACGCACAUUGCGCCCUUUGGUAUUCCGAAGGGCAUGCCUGUUCGAGCGUCAUUACAACCCUCAAGCUCUGCUUGGUAUUGGGCACCGUCCUUUGCGGGCGCGCCUCAAAGACCUCGGCGGUGGCGUCUUGCCUCAAGCGUAGUAGAACAUACAUCUCGCUUCGGAGCGCAGGGCGUCGCCCGCCGGACGAACCUUCUGAACUUUUCCAAGGUGACCUCGGAUCAGGUAGGGAACCCGCUGAACUAAGCAUAUCAAUAAGCGGAGGAAA
RNAcentral lists this ribosomal RNA (582 nucleotides) under Botryosphaeria dothidea. RNAcentral's name for it is "eukaryotic LSU rRNA". The stretch from base 212 to 365 matches the Rfam family "5.8S ribosomal RNA". The record is from RNAcentral. Lineage: Eukaryota; Fungi; Ascomycota; Dothideomycetes; Botryosphaeriales; Botryosphaeriaceae.